GGAGUCGUGGGGGCGCGGUCCUGGUCCCCACCCGGCGCGCGGGGACUCGCCCGCCUGCUGUCUGUCACCCCUGCGCCUCGCCGGGACAACGGGGUGAGGGCAUGGGGGCGUGGGGCCCCAGCCCAGGUUCCCCGCGCACUGGCGCGGCGGCCGCGCCGAGCAAAGUCCGGGACGGGGGAGGGGCCCGAGCGCCAGCGGCCGGGCGGGGGUCUCAGGAGCGGGUUCCCGGUCCCUGCAGGCGGCCUGGCGGGUGGCAUCGAGAUCUGCAUCACCUUCCCCACCGAGUAUGUGAAGACGCAGCUGCAGCUGGACGAGCGCUCGCACCCGCCCCGGUACCGGGGCAUCGGGGACUGCGUGCGGCAGACGGUCCGUAACCAUGGCGUCCUGGGCCUGUACCGCGGCCUUAGCUCCCUGCUCUACGGCUCCAUCCCCAAGGCGGCCGUCAGGUGAGGCCCGGCCCGGGGCUGCUGCGGGAGGGGGGCUCGGCCGCGGCAGCCCCUCUCAUCCGCCUCCCGCCUCCAGGUUUGGAAUGUUCGAGUUCCUCAGCAACCACAUGCGGGAUGCCCAGGGACGGCUGGACAGCACGCGUGGGCUGCUGUGCGGCCUGGGCGCCGGCGUGGCCGAGGCCGUGGUGGUCGUGUGCCCCAUGGAGACCAUCAAGGUGAAGUUCAUUCACGACCAGACCUCUCCACACCCCAAGUACAAAGGAUUCUUCCACGGGGUUAGGGAGAUUGUGCGGGAACAAGGGCUGAAGGGGACGUACCAGGGCCUCACAGCCACCGUCCUGAAGCAGGGCUCGAACCAGGCCAUCCGCUUCUUUGUCAUGACCUCCCUGCGCAACUGGUACCGAGGGGACAACCCCAACAAGCCCAUGAACC
This 878-nucleotide small RNA is filed under the name Pongo abelii (Sumatran orangutan). RNAcentral's name for it is "processed transcript". Lineage: Eukaryota; Metazoa; Chordata; Mammalia; Primates; Hominidae. The record is from RNAcentral.